This 359-nucleotide transfer-messenger RNA is filed under the name Christensenellaceae bacterium. It matches the Rfam family "transfer-messenger RNA". From Rfam's summary of the family: Bacterial tmRNA, also known as 10Sa RNA or SsrA, is named for its dual tRNA and mRNA-like properties. Its role is to liberate the mRNA from a stalled ribosome. Lineage: Bacteria; Bacillati; Bacillota; Clostridia; Christensenellales; Christensenellaceae. The record is from RNAcentral. RNAcentral also lists the same sequence under 1 other name.
GGGCGUGUUCCGGAUUCGACUGGGCGGAAAGGGGAGGGCGUAAGCAUACCGUAGCGCCGUGCUACGCAAAAAACGGCAAACUAAAUUUAUCUGCAGACAAUCAGAGUCUUGCUUUCGCUGCUUAAUUAGCGGCGGUGUCGCCCGCGGGUUUUCCCGUCGGUCCGCGCGUGCGGCAUCAUUUCAGACGGGCUACGGUCCGGACGUUUUCGUUGCGGCGUCCGAACGGCAUUCAGUAACGUACGGAAGGAAUUGUCGGCUUGCAGAUUGUUCUUUCAGGAGAUAAAAAGUUCAAGCUAAGUAUGUAGAAAUCCCUUCGAUUUUCGUUCAACACAGGAGUUCGACUCUCCUCACGUCCACCA